AACGAACGCUGGCGGCGUGCCUAACACAUGCAAGUCGAACGUGAAAGUCCUUCGGGAUGAGUAAAGUGGCGCACGGGUGUGUAACACGUAGGUGACCUGCCUUUUAGAGGGGAAUAACCAGAAGAAAUUGUGGCUAAUGCCGCAUACGAAGCACGGUUUUAAGACUGUGCUUGAAAGAAUGCCUCUGUAUAUGCAUUCACUAAAAGAUGGGCCCGCGGAACAUUAGCUAGUUGGUGGGGUAAAGGACUACCAAGGCAACGAUGUUUAUCCGGUCUGAGAGGAUGAUCGGACACACUGGAACUGAGACACGGUCCAGACUCCUACGGGAGGCAGCAGUGGGGAGUAUUGCGCAAUGGGGGAAACCCUGACGCAGCAACGCCGCGUGAGUGAGGAAGGACUUCGGUCUGUAAAGCUCUGUUAAUGUGGAAAAAUGGUAGUUGGUCUAAUAGGCCGAUUAUUUGAUGGUACACAUAGAGGAAGCACCGGCUAACUUCGUGCCAGCCGCCGCCGUAA
Molecule: ribosomal RNA, 513 nt
Filed under: uncultured bacterium
Lineage: Bacteria
Description: partial 16S ribosomal RNA
Rfam family: Bacterial small subunit ribosomal RNA
Source: RNAcentral